This 146-nucleotide non-coding RNA is filed under the name Homo sapiens (human). Lineage: Eukaryota; Metazoa; Chordata; Mammalia; Primates; Hominidae. The record is from Rfam by way of RNAcentral.
GCCAGGCGUGGUGGCAUGCACCUGUAGUCCCAGCUACUCAGGAGGCUGAGGCAGAAGAAUCGCUUGAACCCAGGAGGCGGAGUGCAGUGAGCCAAGAUUGUGCCACUGCACUCCAGCCUGGGUAACAGAGUGAGACUCUGUCUCAA